RNAcentral lists this long non-coding RNA (375 nucleotides) under Bos taurus (domestic cattle). Its description in RNAcentral is "long non-coding RNA NONBTAT024104". The record is from RNAcentral. Lineage: Eukaryota; Metazoa; Chordata; Mammalia; Artiodactyla; Bovidae.
UCGCAUAUUAAAAUUUCAAUGACAUUUUUCAGUGGAAUAAGACAAAGGCUAGGGGUUGGUGUAAAAAUAUGUCCCAGUGGAUGUAAAGGGGCAGGGGUGGAGAUAAGUGAGAAUCAGAACAGUCCUCUGAGAUAAACAUUCUAAACCUCACUUUACAUGAAAGGAUAAUAAAGAACGAACAGUUAAAAAAGAUUUAUGCCCAAAACUCCAUAUGUGGUUAGUGAUUAUUAAACUUUCAGUGAACAUGAGAAUUUUCUGGAGAGUUUAUCAAGUAUAUAUCCCAUGAGUCCUCACUCUAUAAAAAUCAAAGUGAAAAUAAGCACUCCAGGUGAUUAUCAUGCCCCCAAGCAUGAGAAUUCCUGCCUGUACUAAUUG